RNAcentral lists this small RNA (77 nucleotides) under Streptantibioticus cattleyicolor NRRL 8057 = DSM 46488. Its description in RNAcentral is "Streptomyces cattleya NRRL 8057 nrdJ RNA". It matches the Rfam family "nrdJ RNA". Lineage: Bacteria; Bacillati; Actinomycetota; Actinomycetes; Kitasatosporales; Streptomycetaceae. The record is from Rfam by way of RNAcentral.
ACGUGCCGAGGCAUCGGGUGUGCCGAGGCGGCAGAAAACACUGUGCAACGGGAAGAUCCGAGGCACUUCAGGGCGUU